RNAcentral lists this ribosomal RNA (253 nucleotides) under uncultured bacterium. RNAcentral's name for it is "partial 16S ribosomal RNA". It matches the Rfam family "Bacterial small subunit ribosomal RNA", at positions 524 to 776 of the family's 1533-position model. The record is from RNAcentral.
UACGUAGGGCGCAAGCGUUGUCCGGAAUUAUUGGGCGUAAAGAGCUCGUAGGUGGUUUGUUACGUCUGCUGUGAAAACCUAGGGCUUAACCCUGGGCCUGCAGUGGAUACGGGCAGACUAGAGGUAGGUAGGGGAGAAUGGAAUUCCCGGUGUAGCAGUGAAAUGCGUAGAGAUCGGGAGGAACACCAGUGGCGAAGGCGGCCUUCUGGACCAGUACUGACGCUCAUGCACGAAAGCGUGGGGAGCAAACAGG